Molecule: transfer RNA, 73 nt
Filed under: Ipomoea nil (Japanese morning glory)
Lineage: Eukaryota; Viridiplantae; Streptophyta; Magnoliopsida; Solanales; Convolvulaceae
Rfam family: tRNA
About the family: Transfer RNA (tRNA) molecules are approximately 80 nucleotides in length.
Source: Rfam by way of RNAcentral
GGGGGUGUAGCUCAUAUGGUAGAGCGCUCACUUUGCAUGUGAGAGGCACGGGGUUCAAUUCCCUACACUUCCU